AGUGAACGCUGGCGGUAGGCCUAACACAUGCAAGUCGAACGGCAGCACAGUAAGAGCUUGCUCUUACGGGUGGCGAGUGGCGGACGGGUGAGGAAUACAUCGGAAUCUACUUUUUCGUGGGGGAUAACGUAGGGAAACUUACGCUAAUACCGCAUACGACCUACGGGUGAAAGCAGGGGAUCUUCGGACCUUGCGCGAUUGAAUGAGCCGAUGUCGGAUUAGCUAGUUGGCGGGGUAAAGGCCCACCAAGGCGACGAUCCGUAGCUGGUCUGAGAGGAUGAUCAGCCACACUGGGACUGAGACACGGUCCAGACUCCUACGGGAGGCAGCAGUGGGGAAUAGUGGACAAUGGGCGCAAGCCUGAUCCAGCCAUACCGCGUGGGUGAAGAAGGCCUUCGGGUUGUAAAGCCCUUUUGUUGGGAAAGAAAAGCAGCAGGUUAAUACCCCGCUGUUCUGACGGUACCCAAAGAAUAAGCACCGGCUAACUUCGUG
Molecule: ribosomal RNA, 492 nt
Filed under: uncultured bacterium
Lineage: Bacteria
Description: partial 16S ribosomal RNA
Rfam family: Bacterial small subunit ribosomal RNA
Source: RNAcentral